UUUUUUAAAAUGUUUUUAUUGUUGCUAAAAUCAUUGGAAUACCAGGGCUUACAUGUGGCAAUGAAGUUGCUAAUUUGCACACCCCAUCCCAAAACACAUGCCUCCCACUUGGAGAGGAAGCCUGUCCCACUGGGUUGUGUGGCAAAGAGGGGAGAUUAGAUUGCUCUGCUGUACAGAGAUAGAUCCCAACUGGAGGAGAAAAGAAGGAAUUGAGGCAAGAAGCAUAGUUAAUUCUCCCAAAUCCAGCCUUCAGGCAAGCCACUCCCUCUUACAUGGGGAUGAGUGAGUCAGAGGAGAGUGAUGGAGCAAAAUCCUCUGUGGAGGCUGCUCCACUGGAAAGAUUAGGAAGGAAGAUAGGUGUCACCUACCUAAUCUUUUGGAGUAUCAUUUUUAUUAUCUUUAAAAUAAUACCCACAUCACAGCAUUGGAGUGAAGACAAAAUAUAAGAAAUGCAAAGUAAUUUAGCACAGCAUCUGGCAGAUAGUAUGUAUACCAUAAGUCAUUAAUAUAUUUAUUUGUAUCUUUACAUAUGAGGGAAGGACUUGAAUGCACCAUUAGAUGAGAAGAGAACUAGUAUGUUUUGAGAACUUUCUAUAUUUCAGUUACAUGCACCCUAAUUUAUUCCCUACUCAGAACAAAGCAGUAAGGUGAUAAUGUUCUUUUUUACAGGUAACAAAACUGAGGCUGAGAGGAAACAUGGACAAGUAAUUGAAUGGGGGUCAGAACAGAUCCACCCACUUUCCACUGCCAAAGUAAAAAGAAGACUCAGGUGGUACAAUGUUAUUCAGGAGAGGAAGUGAUGGGCUAGAAGGAACAGCCCAUUACAGAGCACUUCAGUUUGAGGAGACAAUAUUGGCUAAGAACAGGGCUUAGAGAGGGGCACUGCAAAGGGUGGUAAAGGCCACUGGGUAAGAAGGCUCCUGAGGUCGAGGUGCUGAUGGGUUCUCACCAUGGGCAUGAACAUCUUCUGGAAGGAGAUUGAAAGUGGCAUGCAGGAAAACACCAACUGGCAAGUAGACAGAUUUUGAAGGAUUUUCAGCAGUAGCGUUCACAUGGUAUCAGCUUUCAAUGAGGGUAACGAGGUACAGAGAUUCAUGUGGUAUCCCCCAUAGCCACACAGAACAUGGUUAUCCUAGGAAGAAAAAUAGAGUAGACUGUAACUUUAUCAGAAAUGUGUUGCUAUGUAGAAAACCUGAAACAAAAAUGACAAAAUGCUAACAUUUGUCC
This 1227-nucleotide long non-coding RNA is filed under the name Homo sapiens (human). RNAcentral describes it as "HSALNT0144412". Lineage: Eukaryota; Metazoa; Chordata; Mammalia; Primates; Hominidae. The record is from RNAcentral.